Molecule: long non-coding RNA, 1204 nt
Organism: Gorilla gorilla gorilla (western lowland gorilla)
Lineage: Eukaryota; Metazoa; Chordata; Mammalia; Primates; Hominidae
Exons: 5
Source: RefSeq, a predicted model, not a curated record
UCUCCCUCUGUUGUCCAAGGCUGGAGGGUAGUACUGCUAUCGCAGCUGAUUGCAGCCUCAACCUUCCAGGCUGAAGCGAUCCUCCCAUCUCAACCUCCCACGUGGCUGAGACUACAGGUGCUUGCCACUAUGCCCAACUAAUAUUUGGAAUUUUCGUAUACGUGGAUUCCAGAGAGGUGACAGCGAAACGUGGGAACAUCCAGUUUCAGGAAAACAAGCUUAACACGCCCACUGAUUCUACAUUAUGCUCCUACCUCCCGGCAGCCUCGCCAGGCCCAGAACUCUCUCCAGUCAGCCUCUACAGACCAAGCUCAUGACUCACAAUGGCCUAUUGAGGCCCAUACCCUACCUCACGGCAGUCUCCGCAGAUGAGCCUACUGCCUCACAACAGCCUCCACAGGCACAGCUCCAUCGUUACAAUGGCCUCUUUAGACCCAGCUCCUGCCUCCCAGCCUUCUCUCCAGGCCCUGAACUUUCUCCGUGGGACCAUCCAGUUUCAGGAAAACAAGCUUAACACGCCCACUGAUUCUACAUUAUGCUCCUACCUCCCGGCAGCCUCGCCAGGCCCAGAACUCUCUCCAGUCAGCCUCUACAGACCAAGCUCAUGACUCACAAUGGCCUAUUUAGGCCCAUACCCUACCUCACGGCAGUCUCCGCAGAUGAGCCUACUGCCUCACAACAGCCCCACAGGCACAGCUCCAUCGUUCCAAUGGCCUCUUUAGACCCAGCUCCUGCCGCCCAGCCUUGUCUCCAGGCCCUGAACUUUCUCCGUAAGUUGAGGUAGCUGGGACUGUAGGUAUACAUGAUGAUACUUGGCUAAUUUUUAAAUUGUUUUGUAGACAUGGGGUCUCACUUUGUUGGCCAGGCUGCUGUCAAACUAAUGGCCUCAAGUGACCCUUCCACCCCUGCCUCCCAUCCUCGAGGUAUGUGCCACCACAAGGAGCACUUGUUCAAUUUUCUAAAGAAAAAAUUUCUAAAGUAAGGCUGUGGGAUGAUGGCAGGAAGAUAAAAGAAAAACAGAAGAAUAAGUUAAAAUGACUUAUUCACACAUAUUCUUUUGACAGCAAGAAGAACUGUUAGUAUAUACAUUGCUUACAAACAAACAAACGGCAGAUAAACAAUGUUGUAUAGGAACUUCAACACACACUGUACAAUAUUCCCACUUUGCUGACAUAAGUUAUGGAAAUUUCGUGGUUUACUUGAG